This 826-nucleotide long non-coding RNA is filed under the name Salvia miltiorrhiza (redroot sage). RNAcentral's name for it is "long non-coding RNA (SMIL_LNC011077)". The record is from RNAcentral. Lineage: Eukaryota; Viridiplantae; Streptophyta; Magnoliopsida; Lamiales; Lamiaceae.
UAGGAAAUGAUUUAAUAUUAAAAAGUCGAAGUGCCUGGUGGCUGGUACAAGUAACUAAUAGGAGUAACAAAGUAAUAAUCAAGUAAUUAUAAGCUACAACUAAAACAUAAUUUCCUUGAAAUUUCUAGCUUUUAGUGGAAAUCUCCCACCAGAAGAGCUUGAAGGAAUUAUUUACAACAUAAGAUGACCUAAGCGUCUGAAAUGGGACGAAGCUCUUAGCACGUGCAUUCAAUUUGAGUUCCUGAAAGAAUAUGAAGACAAGUAAGAAAGAUAGCAAAAGACAAAUUAAGCAUGCAAAUCUAACGCACCAUGUGACAAGAUGACGCUAUAUUAUGAAUGGCAUGCAUCAAAUUUUCCAAUCCUAUAGUUCACCCUGACAUGUGGAUUAAGUGUUGACUUCUCUAAAGACAAUGAAGCAAUAUAUGAACUAUGAGACAAUCCACGACUUGCAGAAAUUGAAGUACCUUCUCCACGAUGUUUCUGCAGAACUAUUGAUCCAAGUAAGAGAGGUUUCUACCCCCCUUGUGCUUUAGGACAUGUUGUGCGCCUUUAGGUAUCUCGUUGAAGAAGAUUCCCUUAUCCUGCCUUUAAAUGAAACAAGUUCAAACGCAGUAGCAUUUGUUGAUAAUUCAACCUUAGAACAAGUUUAUUUAUUUAAUGAGUUUGAACAUGAAUCUAUAAUCAUAUCAAUCCUAGCGUACACAAAGAUGAAUAACAUGGCACAAGGGGAAAUAAAGUAUAUAGAACAAAUAUAGGCCACAACAAAAGAAAAAUAGGGCUAGAAUUGUCUCAUGCAAUGAAAAAAUGUCAACUAACCAACUCUUAU